RNAcentral lists this unclassified non-coding RNA (212 nucleotides) under uncultured Entolomataceae. RNAcentral's name for it is "sequence contains ITS2". Lineage: Eukaryota; Fungi; Basidiomycota; Agaricomycetes; Agaricales; Entolomataceae. The record is from RNAcentral.
AAUUCUCAACCUCUCCUGGCUUUGUAAAAAGCUGGCGAGGCUUGGAUUUUGGAGGUUGCUGGCUUCUUCAAGAAACCAGCUCUUCUUAAAUGCAUUAGCAGAAAUCUUUUACUGAUCAUCUUUGGUAUGAUAAUUAUCUAUACCACAGAAAUUCAGUGUCCUGUAUUGGAAAGAAACUCUGCUUAAAAUCGUCCAUAUCAGACAAUUUGACA